This 253-nucleotide ribosomal RNA is filed under the name uncultured bacterium. RNAcentral's name for it is "partial 16S ribosomal RNA". It matches the Rfam family "Bacterial small subunit ribosomal RNA", at positions 524 to 776 of the family's 1533-position model. The record is from RNAcentral.
UACGGGGGGGGCAAGCGUUGUUCGGAAUUCCUGGGCGUAAAGGGCUUGUAGGUGGCCAACUAAGUCAGACGUGAAAUCCCUCGGCUUAACCGGGGAACUGCGUCUGAUACUGGAUGGCUUGAGUGUGGGAGAGGGAUGCGGAAUUCCAGGUGUAGCGGUGAAAUGCGUAGAUAUCUGGAGGAACACCGGUGGCGAAGGCGGCAUCCUGGACCAUUACUGACACUGAAAAGCGAAAGCCAGGGGAGCAAACGGG